Molecule: long non-coding RNA, 499 nt
Filed under: Panax ginseng (ginseng)
Lineage: Eukaryota; Viridiplantae; Streptophyta; Magnoliopsida; Apiales; Araliaceae
Description: long non-coding RNA (PGIN_LNC016874)
Source: RNAcentral
CCAAGGUCGAGUAACCUUAACUUAAACACAAUUCAUAAACUAUUUAUUACAUAACAAUAUUUAUCACAAUACGCUAUUACAAACUAGCUGCACUUUAUAACCCAAGCUGAUCUUGGCUUUAAUCGUUUCCUGUAUUCGAACGCAUUUGCCUUAUCUGCAAUGUUUUAUCAUGAUAUAGCAAGGGUGAGCAUGAAAGUUGCCCAACAAGUUUAAAUACAACAAUUUAAGGAUAUAUCAUGAUUGAAGAGUAUGAAUAAUAAACUGGCUAUAAUUCAUCAAUAUAAUUGAGAACUAGCACGAACAAACUUUUGACUGAACAAGUUUUAAACAUGAACAAACAUUUCUAGACAACCCGGUAAUGAAGGUGAUCAGCCUUUCAUACCUGACUUAUACAUGCAAGAUGUACAGAGUACAAUUUUCAUGGCAAUCAGCAAUGAUUAACCAUAAGCUUGAAUAAAACACUCUUAGUAGAGUUAAGUAAGAACAAACUUGUCUGAAC